Molecule: ribosomal RNA, 1065 nt
Filed under: Amynthas carnosus carnosus
Lineage: Eukaryota; Metazoa; Annelida; Clitellata; Crassiclitellata; Megascolecidae
Description: partial 12S ribosomal RNA
Source: RNAcentral
UCGAUAAUCCACGUAUACCAAACCUUCUCUCGACACUACAGCAUGUGUACUGCCGUUGUAAGCAUACCUUUAAAAGAACAAGUAUGCUUCUAUGACUAACACAAUCACAGCUAGCUCAUAUACAUCAGGUCAAAGUGCAGCUAAUAAGAAGGUGAUGAUGGGUUACAACCCCAAAAUAGACUAUAAACUAAGAAAUAAAAAAUCUUACGAAAGUGGACUUGGCCGUAAUUAAUUUCAAAUUAAAAAAAUGAAUAAAAAUCUAAGACAUGUACACAUCGCCCGUCACUCUAUCCUAAAGGUUAGAUAAGUCGUAACAAAGUAGGUGUAAUGGAAAUUGCACCUGUCGAAGUAUAGCAUAUAUAAUGCUUUUUACUUACACUAAAAAUAAAGUUGAACAACUUACUUCGCCCACGUAAUAUUAAUCUUAUAAAACAUUAAAUAAUAAGAAUAAUUAAACAAAAUUUAACUAACAAAUAAGUACAGAAAUGGAAACAAUAAAUAUAUAAAAGUAACUAUUAACAACUGUACCUUGUGCAUUAUGGUUUUACAAGAAAAUAAUUAAAAAUACCAAUCCCGAAUUCUAAAUGAGAUGUUAAACUGCUGUUAUGAACCCACUAAUAACUGUAGAAAAAGUUUUAAGAGACAGUUUAACAGAGGCUACAUACCAUUCGCAUAAGAAUAUAGCUGGUUUUCAACAAACAUUAUAUAUUAAAACAUAUAAUUAUAUUAUAGUGUAAAAUUAUUGAGGAUAAGCCCAAUAAUUAAAGCAAUACUAACACAAAAUCCAUUUACUCUCAUAGGCCUAAAAUCAGCCAACUAAAAUACUUUACCGUAUCAAAUGACGAUAUAAUGAAUAAAUAUAUAUCAUGCUAAAAGAAAGUUGAAACAACGAAUAAACCACAUAUCUCACUUUUACUAUGUAAAAAUAAGUAUUAUAAAACUAAAAUAAUCAUUAUCUAGUGAUAAACAAAACACAAAAAACCAUAAUUAAUUAAGGAACUCGGCAAAUAAGGGUUUCGACUGUUUAACAAAAACAUUGUCUCAUGAAAUUAAAUAUGAGAUAAU